AUACGGAGGGUCCGAGCGUUAAUCGGAAUUACUGGGCGUAAAGCGCGCGUAGGCGGCUAUAUAAGUCAGAUGUGAAAUCCCUGGGCUCAACCUAGGAACUGCAUUUGAAACUGUAUGGCUAGAGUAUGGUAGAGGUGAGUGGAAUUUCAGGUGUAGCGGUGAAAUGCGUAGAGAUCUGAAGGAACAUCAGUGGCGAAGGCGACUCACUGGGCCAUUACUGACGCUGAGGUGCGAAAGCGUGGGUAGCAAACAGAAUUAGAAACCCUUGUAGUCC
RNAcentral lists this ribosomal RNA (274 nucleotides) under uncultured bacterium. Its description in RNAcentral is "partial 16S ribosomal RNA". It matches the Rfam family "Bacterial small subunit ribosomal RNA", at positions 523 to 796 of the family's 1533-position model. The record is from RNAcentral.